RNAcentral lists this ribosomal RNA (712 nucleotides) under Acidovorax temperans. RNAcentral describes it as "bacterial SSU rRNA". It matches the Rfam family "Bacterial small subunit ribosomal RNA", at positions 45 to 754 of the family's 1533-position model. Lineage: Bacteria; Pseudomonadati; Pseudomonadota; Betaproteobacteria; Burkholderiales; Comamonadaceae. The record is from RNAcentral.
UGCCUUACACAUGCAAGUCGAACGGUGGACAGGUCUUCGGAUGCUGACGAGUGGCGAACGGGUGAGUAAUACAUCGGAACGUGCCCGAUCGUGGGGGAUAACGAAGCGAAAGCUUUGCUAAUACCGCAUACGAUCUACGGAUGAAAGCAGGGGACCGCAAGGCCUUGCGCGAACGGAGCGGCCGAUGGCAGAUUAGGUAGUUGGUGGGAUAAAAGCUUACCAAGCCGACGAUCUGUAGCUGGUCUGAGAGGACGACCAGCCACACUGGGACUGAGACACGGCCCAACUCCUACGGGAGGCAGCAGUGGGGAAUUUUGGACAAUGGGCGAAAGCCUGAUCCAGCCAUGCCGCGUGCAGGAUGAAGGCCUUCGGGUUGUAAACUGCUUUUGUACGGAACGAAAAGACUCUGGUUAAUACCUGGGGUCCAUGACGGUACCGUAAGAAUAAGCACCGGCUAACUACGUGCCAGCAGCCGCGGUAAUACGUAGGGUGCAAGCGUUAAUCGGAAUUACUGGGCGUAAAGCGUGCGCAGGCGGUUAUAUAAGACAGAUGUGAAAUCCCCGGGCUCAACCUGGGAACUGCAUUUGUGACUGUAUAGCUAGAGUACGGCAGAGGGGGAUGGAAUUCCGCGUGUAGCAGUGAAAUGCGUAGAUAUGCGGAGGAACACCGAUGGCGAAGGCAAUCCCCUGGGCCUGUACUGACGCUCAUGCAC